CUAAUACAUGCAAGUCGGACGGGAUCCGUCGGAGAGCUUGCUCGAAGACGGUGAGAGUGGCGCACGGGUGCGUAACGCGUGAGCAACCUACCUCUAUCAGGGGGAUAGCCUCUCGAAAGAGAGAUUAACACCGCAUAACAUAUCUGACCGGCAUCGGUUGGAUAUUAAAUAUUUAUAGGAUAGAGAUGGGCUCGCGUGACAUUAGCUAGUUGGUAGGGUAACGGCUUACCAAGGCGACGAUGUCUAGGGGCUCUGAGAGGAGAAUCCCCCACACUGGUACUGAGACACGGACCAGACUCCUACGGGAGGCAGCAGUAAGGAAUAUUGGUCAAUGGGCGGAAGCCUGAACCAGCCAUGCCGCGUGCAGGAUGACUGCCCUAUGGGUUGUAAACUGCUUUUGUCCAGGAAUAAACCUUUCUACGUGUAGCUAGCUGAAUGUACUGGAAGAAUAAGGAUCGGCUAACUCCGUGCCAGCAGCCGCGGUAAUACGGAGGAUCCGAGCGUUAUCCGGAUUUAUUGGGUUUAAAGGGUGCGUAGGCGGCCUAUUAAGUCAGGGGUGAAAUACGGUGGCUCAACCAUCGCAGUGCCUUUGAUACUGAUGGGCUUGAAUCCAUUUGAAGUGGGCGGAAUAAGACAAGUAGCGUUGAAAUGCAUAGAUAUGUCUUAGAACUCCGAUUGCGAAGGCAGCUCACUAA
This 695-nucleotide ribosomal RNA is filed under the name Sphingobacterium sp. F27. Its description in RNAcentral is "bacterial SSU rRNA". It matches the Rfam family "Bacterial small subunit ribosomal RNA", at positions 48 to 732 of the family's 1533-position model. Lineage: Bacteria; Pseudomonadati; Bacteroidota; Sphingobacteriia; Sphingobacteriales; Sphingobacteriaceae. The record is from RNAcentral.